This 255-nucleotide ribosomal RNA is filed under the name uncultured bacterium. Its description in RNAcentral is "partial 16S ribosomal RNA". It matches the Rfam family "Bacterial small subunit ribosomal RNA", at positions 524 to 776 of the family's 1533-position model. The record is from RNAcentral.
UACGUAGGGUGCGAGCGUUGUCCGGAAUUAUUGGGCGUAAAGAGCUCGUAGGCGGUGUGUCACGUCGGCCGUGAAAACCUGGGGCUUAACUCUGGGCGUGCGGUCGAUACGGGCAUCACUAGAGUUCGGCAGGGGAGACUGGAAUUCCUGGUGUAGCGGUGAAAUGCGCAGAUAUCAGGAGGAACACCGGUGGCGAAGGCGGGUCUCUGGGCCGAUGACUGACGCUGAGGAGCGAAAGCAUGGGUAGCGAACAGG